CAACUCGCCUGCAUGAAGUCGGAAUUGCUAGUAAUCGCGGAUCAGCAUGCCGCGGUGAAUACGUUCCCGGGCCUUGUACACACCGCCCGUCACACCAUGGGAGUCGGUAACACCCGAAGCCGAUAGUCUAACGAAAGAGGACGUCGUCGAAGGUGGGAUUGAUGACUGGGGUGAAGUCGUAACAAGGUAGC
RNAcentral lists this ribosomal RNA (191 nucleotides) under uncultured bacterium. Its description in RNAcentral is "partial 16S ribosomal RNA". It matches the Rfam family "Bacterial small subunit ribosomal RNA", at positions 1308 to 1500 of the family's 1533-position model. The record is from RNAcentral.